This 449-nucleotide ribosomal RNA is filed under the name uncultured bacterium. RNAcentral's name for it is "bacterial SSU rRNA". It matches the Rfam family "Bacterial small subunit ribosomal RNA", at positions 330 to 794 of the family's 1533-position model. The record is from RNAcentral.
UCCAGACUCCUACGGGAGGCAGCAGUGGGGAAUAUUGCACAAUGGGGGAAACCCUGAUGCAGCGACGCCGCGUGGGUGACGAAGUAUUUCGGUAUGUAAAGCCCUAUCAGCAGGGAAGAAGAUGACAGUACCUGACUAAGAAGCCCCGGCUAACUACGUGCCAGCAGCCGCGGUAAUACGUGGGGGGCAAGCGUUAUCCGGAUUUACUGGGUGUAAAGGGAGCGUAGGUGGCAUGGCAAGCCAGAAGUGAAAGCCCGGGGCUUAACCCCGCGGAUUGCUUUUGGAACUGUCAGGCUGGAGUGCAGGAGGGGCAGGCGGAAUUCCUGGUGUAGCGGUGAAAUGCGUAGAUAUCAGGAGGAACACCGGUGGCGAAGGCGGCCUGCUGGACUGUAACUGACACUGAGGAUCGAAAGCGUGGGGAGCAAACAGGAUUAGAUACCCCCGUAAAA